Molecule: ribosomal RNA, 454 nt
Filed under: uncultured bacterium
Lineage: Bacteria
Description: bacterial SSU rRNA
Rfam family: Bacterial small subunit ribosomal RNA
Source: RNAcentral
GCACAAGCGGUGGAGCAUGUGGCUUAAUUCGACGCAACGCGAAGAACCUUACCAAGGCUUGACAUACACCGGAAAGCAUUAGAGAUAGUGCCCCCCUUGUGGUCGGUGUACAGGUGGUGCAUGGCUGUCGUCAGCUCGUGUCGUGAGAUGUUGGGUUAAGUCCCGCAACGAGCGCAACCCUUGUCCUUAGUUGCCAGCAUUAAGUUGGGCACUCUAAGGAGACCGCCGGUGACAAACCGGAGGAAGGUGGGGAUGACGUCAAGUCAUCAUGGCCUUUAUGGCCAGGGCUACACACGUGCUACAAUGGCAGAUACAGAGGGAAGCCAACGCGCGAGCGGGAGCCAAUCCCAGAAAAUCUGUCGUAGUCCGGAUCGGAGUCUGCAACUCGACUCCGUGAAGUCGGAAUCGCUAGUAAUCGCAGAUCAGCAUUGCUGCGGUGAAUACGUUCCCGGGC